Long non-coding RNA from Astatotilapia calliptera (eastern happy), 480 nucleotides. Lineage: Eukaryota; Metazoa; Chordata; Actinopteri; Cichliformes; Cichlidae. The record is from Ensembl.
GGAGUGGAGUGCUGUAAAGUUUGUGGACAGGAUGUGCAAGGAGCCAUGCUUUAGCUGCCCUGCCUGCACUGCAGACAUGCUUGCCGUCUCAGUUGAUGGAAACCGCAAGCUUUAUCGCUUUCAGUCUAAUGCAAGCACUUCAGAGCAGGGGAACUUUGAAGGUGUCUUCAUUGAAAAAGAUGAGGAAGAUUCUGAGUUUGUGAAAUACAUCCAGAGACACACAAAUCAUGUCCCAGGGAAAGGGUUGUGCGGAUCUUCAUCUUGGACUGCAGCAAAGGAGUCGUCCAAAAAGUCCACUGGGAAGUUGGAUGAAGAGGGCGUGGAAAUAGCUGUUUGUCACCACGGAGUCCUCUUAGCUGCAUUGAACAUGUUUCGAGGGGAGAUCUUUGCUUACCCUCUUUUUCUCCAGAGGAAGUUGGCAGCUAGCUUCCCAGGACAUAUUACGUUCCUUUGCUCUGAUGUGGCCUGUAAAUAUUUCCC